This is a long non-coding RNA of Cyprinus carpio (common carp), 939 nucleotides long. NCBI's taxonomy places the organism in Eukaryota, Metazoa, Chordata, Actinopteri, Cypriniformes, Cyprinidae. The record is from Ensembl.
AUGGCGAAUAGUUGGACUUUGACGGUGAUUGUCCUCCUAAGCAUCUUUAUGGCGAGAAGUCAGACAAGAGAUUUCAAAGAGCAGAACUUUAUUCAAGGCAGUGAUGUGAUUUUACAGUGUGGCAAUGCCACUGUUAUCAGUUGGAAUGAAUUAAUUUAUAUUGUCUGGAACAUCAGCCUGGAAGGCAGAAAAUGUUGGCUGGGUUUGUCACCCAAGCUGGACGACACAUGUAAAGAUGGAAAGAGGCUGUUAAACACCUCAGAUGGAGUUUCUUUAGUCAUUCCCAAGAUUUCAACAAGAGAUGAAGGAUUUUAUUCGUGUGAUGUAUCAUAUAAAGCAGGAAGCUAUGCUGUAAAUGUGUCUGUAAGCGUUACCCAACUUUUCACCAAGCAGAGUGAAAACAAUCAAAGGAUUGCUGUCUGUCAGGCCACAUACACACAAAAGACAGCACCCACUCUUCACUGGGAACCUGCCUUGAACUUUUCCUCCAGUAACAGUUCUGUAAAGAAGCAUGGCAGGUUUUUUACGAUGGAGAAUCAAGUAUAUCUGCCGGACAAUGUCAACAUCAGUGAGCUCAUCUGUGUGGCCACAUACUCCUCCGAGUCCGGCUCUGUUCAGCACAAGAGCACACUUCAUCUUAAAAUUUCACACAGCGGAACACAAGAAACUUCCUCUUUUCCAGUGAAAAUUAUUGCCAUAUCAGUUGGUUCUACAUGUAUUUUUUUUUUUGUUGUAUCUCUGGCCGUGGUUUACAUACUCCGCAGAAAGCUUUACAACUUAAGUGCACUGAAGAUGCUUUGCUGCAAAUCUAAAAUCUCAACACCAUCUGAAGACAAACCACCCCAACCCGCUGAUGUUGAAGAGGUGGAACCCUAUGCAAGCUACAUACAGAGAGUCAACUCCAUCUACAACUCCUCAGCUGAGCUCUUCAACGCCUGA